AUACGUAGGUGGCAAGCGUUGUCCGGAUUUAUUGGGCGUAAAGCGAGCGCAGGCGGUUCCUUAAGUCUGAUGUGAAAGCCCACGGCUUAACCGUGGAAGGUCAUUGGAAACUGGGGAACUUGAGUGCAGAAGAGGAGAGUGGAAUUCCAUGUGUAGCGGUGAAAUGCGUAGAUAUAUGGAGGAACACCAGUGGCGAAGGCGACUCUCUGGUCUGUAACUGACGCUGAGGCUACGAAAGCGGUGGGGAGC
Molecule: ribosomal RNA, 249 nt
Filed under: uncultured bacterium
Lineage: Bacteria
Description: partial 16S ribosomal RNA
Rfam family: Bacterial small subunit ribosomal RNA
Source: RNAcentral